AACGAACGCUGGCGGCGUGGAUAAGACAUGCAAGUCGAACGCUUAUUUACCUGUAGCAAUACAGGUGAGUAGGAGUGGCGCAAGGGUGCGUAACACGUGGGUAAUUUGCCGUGAAGACCGGGAUAACUUGCUGAAAGGCGAGCUAAUACCGGAUGUGGAAAUUGGAAGGCAUCUUUUGAUUUUUGAAGCUGGGGACCGCAAGGCCUGGCACUUUACGAUAAGCCCGCGGCCAUCAGCUAGUUGGUGAGGUAACGGCUCACCAAGGCUAAGACGGGUAGCUGGUCUGAGAGGACGACCAGCCACACUGGAACUGAGACACGGUCCAGACACCUACGGGUGGCAGCAGUCGAGAAUUUUUCUCAAUGGGCGCAAGCCUGAAGGAGCGACGCGCGUGGGGGAUGAAGGGUUUCGAUCCGUAAACCCCUGUCAUUUGCGAACAAACCCUGUGGUUUAAGAGGCGACAGGUUGAUUGUAGCG
RNAcentral lists this ribosomal RNA (477 nucleotides) under uncultured bacterium. RNAcentral's name for it is "bacterial SSU rRNA". It matches the Rfam family "Bacterial small subunit ribosomal RNA", at positions 29 to 480 of the family's 1533-position model. The record is from RNAcentral.